Molecule: transfer RNA, 72 nt
Filed under: Anaerolineae bacterium
Lineage: Bacteria; Bacillati; Chloroflexota; Anaerolineae
Description: tRNA-Lys
Rfam family: tRNA
About the family: Transfer RNA (tRNA) molecules are approximately 80 nucleotides in length. Their secondary structure includes four short double-helical elements and three loops (D, anti-codon, and T loops). Further hydrogen bonds mediate the characteristic L-shaped molecular structure. tRNAs have two regions of fundamental functional importance: the anti-codon, which is responsible for specific mRNA codon recognition, and the 3' end, to which the tRNAs corresponding amino acid is attached (by aminoacyl-tRNA synthetases). tRNAs cope with the degeneracy of the genetic code in two manners: having more than one tRNA (with a specific anti-codon) for a particular amino acid; and 'wobble' base-pairing, i.e. permitting non-standard base-pairing at the 3rd anti-codon position.
Source: RNAcentral
GGCCCCGUAGCUCAAUGGUAGAGCAGUUGACUCUUAAUCAAUUGGUUGGGGGUUCGAGCCCCUCCGGGGUCA